GGGCCCGCACAAGCGGUGGAGUAUGUGGUUUAAUUCGAUGCAACGCGAAGAACCUUACCAGGGUUUGACAUCCUGCGAAUCUCUUGGAAACAGGAGAGUGCCUUCGGGAACGCAGUGACAGGUGGUGCAUGGCUGUCGUCAGCUCGUGUCGUGAGAUGUUGGGUUAAGUCCCGCAACGAGCGCAACCCACGUCUUUAGUUGCCAGCAUUUAGUUGGGCACUCUAGAGAGACUGCCGGUGAUAAACCGGAGGAAGGUGUGGAUGACGUCAAGUCAUCAUGCCCCUUACAUCCUGGGCUACACACGUACUACAAUGGUCGGUACAAUGGGUCGCCACCCAGCGAUGGGGCGCAAA
Molecule: ribosomal RNA, 353 nt
Filed under: uncultured bacterium
Lineage: Bacteria
Description: bacterial SSU rRNA
Rfam family: Bacterial small subunit ribosomal RNA
Source: RNAcentral